AGUGAACGCUGGCGGUAGGCCUAACACAUGCAAGUCGAACGGCAGCACAGUAAGAGCUUGCUCUUACGGGUGGCGAGUGGCGGACGGGUGAGGAAUACAUCGGAAUCUACUUUUUCGUGGGGGAUAACGUAGGGAAACUUACGCUAAUGCCGCAUACGACCUACGGGUGAAAGCAGGGGAUCUUCGGACCUUGCGCGAUUGAAUGAGCCGAUGUCGGAUUAGCUAGUUGGCGGGGUAAAGGCCCACCAAGGCGACGAUCCGUAGCUGGUCUGAGAGGAUGAUCAGCCCCACUGGAACUGGGACCCGGCCCAACCUCCUAGGGGAGGCAGCAGUGGGGAAUUUUGGAAAAGGGGCGCAAGCCUAAUCCAGCCAUCCCGGGGGGGUGAAGAAGGCCUUCGGGUUGUAAAGCCCUUUUGUUGGGAAAAAAAAGCAGCAGGUUAAUACCCCGCUGUUCUGACGGUACCAAAAAAAUAAGCACCGGCUAACUUCGU
Molecule: ribosomal RNA, 491 nt
Filed under: uncultured bacterium
Lineage: Bacteria
Description: partial 16S ribosomal RNA
Rfam family: Bacterial small subunit ribosomal RNA
Source: RNAcentral